This is a long non-coding RNA of Pseudophryne corroboree (corroboree frog), 1236 nucleotides long. RefSeq lists it as uncharacterized. Lineage: Eukaryota; Metazoa; Chordata; Amphibia; Anura; Myobatrachidae. The record is from RefSeq and is a predicted model, not a curated record. The transcript is spliced from 2 exons.
CCCCGGCCUGUCACUCUGGGUGCCGCUCCGCCUCUUUAGAUGUCACCGCCUCUUCAGCGCUCCCCCGGCCGGUCACUCUGGAUGCCGCUCCGCCUUGAAGGAUGUCAGCGCCCUUCGGAAGUCUCCGCCUCUUUAGAUGUCACCGCCUCUUCAGCGCUUCCCCGGCCGGUCACUCCGGAUGCCGCUUCACCUUGAAUGAUGUCGGCGACCUCCGGAAGUCUCCGCCUCUCGAUCUCCCCCCUCUUGAGUGACUCGCCGGCUAUUGCAGGGGGAUAGCGCUCUUCAGUGCACUACCACCAGUAGUCGCUGCACCCUCUUCUCUAGCGCCCGCUGACAGUUACAGCUCAAAUCAGCGGUGCAGAAGAGGAGAAACCGCUCCCAUGGCUGCGCACCCGAUCCAAUCUGUUCUUAUGCGGCGGGCUCUUCUAUUUAUACUCCUGCCAUCAGGGUCGCGUGGAGGUGUUCUUCCCGCCGAGGUCUCGUGAACCACCUGUACAGACAUGUGCCCAGGGUUAUUCCAUGCACUGCAUCCUCCAAUCAGGAUUUAGGUUUAUACAGCAGUGAUUUAAGAGAAAAAUCUGUUGACUAAGAAGUGGAACAUUACACGAGAACCAUCCAUUAGUAUUACGAACACUGUCCAUACCCACCAUCGAGACUGUCUAAAUAUUCCAGGGAGCGCACCACAGCAAGAAUUGGAACAUUAUGGUCUCACCACUUUCCAACUCCUCCACUGCACGCCAUUCUCCCCGGCUGCUGGUGCUUAUCCGUUCAUUGCAGCCAUCCCUGGGGGACAACUAUCGGAAUAUUCCCGUGCUGGAAGCUGCUGUACAGUAUGUCAAACCAGGUAGCGGGUGUCCGGUACAUUCAAAGCUUGACGCAUUUCCCCACCUCCUUACAGUAUCAGUGGCUUCCUCAGAAGCGGAUAUAUACUAUUUUGUGUGGCUAGACCAUUUAAUGAUUAGCUAUUCUGAGUUUUGCGAAUGCAGUUUUUAGCCAACUUGUUCUAAACAACUUGAUAUCAAUUGGAUGUAAACAUUUUUCUGAGACCAGUUACAAAAUAGUUGUUGCUAAAUGAGCCAUAACUAUUACACCUGCGGCAGGAUCAGUCACUUUAUUUAUUUUUAACAAACAUAGGAAAUAAUUUGUUUCUAAACUUAUUUUUACUUUGUAUGUAAACCGGCCGGUGGUUGUUCUUAAAUUGUAUUUGUACCUUAAAUAAAUGAAUUAGCCAUUUAA